UAGGGAAUCUUCGGCAAUGGACGAAAGUCUGACCGAGCAACGCCGCGUGAGGGAAGAAGGUCUUCGGAUCGUAAAACUCUUUUGUUAGAGAAGAACAAGGAAGUUAGCAACUGAACGUCCCCUGACGGUACCUAACCAGAAAGCCAGGGCUAACUACGUGCCAGCAGCCGCGGUAAUACGUAGGUGGCAAGCGUUGUCCGGAUUUAUUGGGCGUAAAGCGAGCGCAGGCGGUUUGUUAAGUCUGAUGUGAAAGCCCCCGGCUCAACCGGGGAGGGUCAUUGGAAACUGGGAGACUUGAGUGCAGAAGAGGUGAGUGGAAUUCCCGGUGUAGCGGUGAAAUGCGUAGAGAUAUGGAGGAACACCAGUGGCGAAGGCGGCUCUCUGGUCUGUAACUGACGCUGAGGCUCGAAAGCGUGGGGAGCAAACAGG
This 429-nucleotide ribosomal RNA is filed under the name Gemmatimonadota bacterium. RNAcentral describes it as "Gemmatimonadetes bacterium partial 16S ribosomal RNA". It matches the Rfam family "Bacterial small subunit ribosomal RNA", at positions 355 to 776 of the family's 1533-position model. Lineage: Bacteria; Pseudomonadati; Gemmatimonadota. The record is from RNAcentral.